This 407-nucleotide ribosomal RNA is filed under the name uncultured prokaryote. RNAcentral's name for it is "bacterial SSU rRNA". It matches the Rfam family "Bacterial small subunit ribosomal RNA", at positions 355 to 776 of the family's 1533-position model. The record is from RNAcentral. RNAcentral also lists the same sequence under 1 other name.
UGGGGAAUCUUCCGCAAUGGGCGAAAGCCUGACGGAGCAACGCCGCGUGAGUGAGGAAGGCUUUCGGGUCGUAAAACUCUGUCUUAAGGGAAGAAAAAAAUGACGGUACCUUAGGAGGAAGCCCCGGCUAACUACGUGCCAGCAGCCGCGGUAAAACGUAGGGGGCGAGCGUUGUCCGGAAUUACUGGGCGUAAAGGGCGUGUAGGUGGUCUGUGAAGUCGGGAGUGAAAACCUGGGGCUCAACCCCGGGCGUGCUACCGAAACCAGCAGACUUGAGGACAGGAGAGGGAAGCGGAAUUCCCAGUGUAGCGGUGAAAUGCGUAGAUAUUGGGAGGAACACCAGUGGCGAAAGCGGCUUUCUGGCCUGUAACUGACACUGAGGCGCGAAAGCGUGGGGAGCAAACAGG